This 300-nucleotide ribosomal RNA is filed under the name uncultured Aeropyrum sp. RNAcentral's name for it is "bacterial SSU rRNA". It matches the Rfam family "Bacterial small subunit ribosomal RNA", at positions 496 to 795 of the family's 1533-position model. The record is from RNAcentral. Lineage: Archaea; Thermoproteati; Thermoproteota; Thermoprotei; Acidilobales; Acidilobaceae.
GCUGACUCAGUGCCAGGGGCGAUGGUAAUAGGUGAGGGGGAUGCUGUAUUAGGAAUGACGGGUCGUAAGGGGCACGGAGGCGGAGAUGAAAGUGUGAUGUGGAAUGCCGGGGCUCAGCCGUGGAAUGGGAGCUGAGUGUGGUGAGCUAGAGGGCGGGAGAGGGGGGUGGAAGUCCGGGUGUAGCGGUGAAAUUCGUAGAUAUCCGGAGGAACACCAGUGGCGAAGGCGGCCCACUGGAUUGAUACUGACGCUGAGGUGCGAAAGCGUGGGGAUCAAACAGGAUUAGAUACCCCUGUAGUC